Molecule: ribosomal RNA, 456 nt
Filed under: Enterobacter hormaechei
Lineage: Bacteria; Pseudomonadati; Pseudomonadota; Gammaproteobacteria; Enterobacterales; Enterobacteriaceae
Description: bacterial SSU rRNA
Rfam family: Bacterial small subunit ribosomal RNA
Source: RNAcentral
GCGGCAGGCCUAACACAUGCAAGUCGAACGGUAACAGGAGCACUUGCUGCUUCGCUGACGUGGCGGACGGGUGAGUAAUGUCUGGGAAACUGCCUGAUGGAGGGGGAUACUACUGGAAACGGUAGCUAAUACCGCAUAACGUCGCAAGCCCAAAGAGGGGGCCUUCGGCCUCUUGCCAUCGGAUGUGCCCAGAUGGGAUUAGCUAGUAGGUGGGGUAACGGCUCACCUAGGCGACGAUCCCUAGCUGGUCUGAGAGGAUGACCAGCCACACUGGAACUGAGACACGGUCCAGACUCCUACGGGAGGCAGCAGUGGGGAAUAUUGCACAAUGGGCGCAAGCCUGAUGCAGCCAUGCCGCGUGUAUGAAGAAGGCCUUCGGGUUGUAAAGUACUUUGCAGCGGGGAGGAAGGCGAUAAGGUUAAUAACCUUGUCGAUUGACGUUACCCGCAGAAGAAG